GACGAACGCUGGCGGCGUGCUUAACACAUGCAAGUCGAACGGAAAGGCCCUGCUUUUGUGGGGUGCUCGAGUGGCGAACGGGUGAGUAACACGUGAGUAACCUGCCCUUGACUUUGGGAUAACUUCAGGAAACUGGGGCUAAUACCGGAUAGGAGCUCCUGCUGCAUGGUGGGGGUUGGAAAGUUUCGGCGGUUGGGGAUGGACUCGCGGCUUAUCAGCUUGUUGGUGGGGUAGUGGUCUACCAAGGCUUUGACGGGUAGCCGGCCUGAGAGGGUGACCGGCCACAUUGGGACUGAGAUACGGCCCAGACUCCUACGGGAGGCAGCAGUGGGGAAUAUUGCACAAUGGGCGGAAGCCUGAUGCAGCAACGCCGCGUGCGGGAUGACGGCCUUCGGGUUGUAAACCGCUUUCGCCUGUGACGAAGCGUGAGUGACGGUAAUGGGUAAAGAAGCACCGGCUAACUACGUG
RNAcentral lists this ribosomal RNA (468 nucleotides) under uncultured bacterium. RNAcentral describes it as "partial 16S ribosomal RNA". It matches the Rfam family "Bacterial small subunit ribosomal RNA", at positions 28 to 507 of the family's 1533-position model. The record is from RNAcentral.